Meriones unguiculatus (Mongolian gerbil) is the source of this 863-nucleotide long non-coding RNA. RefSeq lists it as uncharacterized. The transcript is spliced from 3 exons. Lineage: Eukaryota; Metazoa; Chordata; Mammalia; Rodentia; Muridae. The record is from RefSeq and is a predicted model, not a curated record.
ACUCUGGGUUCGUCAGGUCUAAAGCAAAGUUACUGAUUAGAGAAAUAUGUGACUUGCGUCUUUGUGGUUCCUUUCCUGGCAAAAGUUUAUUCUACAGUUAACUAUUAGGCUCCAAAAGCCAUCUGCAGGCCACGCUUAAUCUACAUGCUUCAAAAAUGGCCAAAGAGCUGUCUCUAGACACUGUCCUCAGCGGAUACCCUAGGAAAAGAAGUAUUGAGCAUCAUUGUACAUGUCUGAAAUCCCAGCACCGAGGCUACAGCAGGAGGAGUGAGUUGGAGGCCAGCCUGUGCUGCAUGGGUUUCUCUGUGUAGCCCUGGCUUUCCUGGAACUCACUCCACAGACCAGACUGGCCUUGAACUCCGAGAUCUGCCUGCUUCUGCCUCCCGAGUACUGGGAUUAAAGGUGUGGGCCACAACUACCCAUCAGUAUUAAUUUUUUUUUUAAUGUGGCUUAACAAGUGGAAAAGAGAGAACAUUGUCACAGCACAGCACAGUCAGUGUAUCAGUAAUUUGUAACACACACACAGUGUCAGUAAAGAUGUGGAGCAGGCUGGGGAACGGGAGAGCUGGCACCUCAUCCUGGAGACAUUAGGCAGAAGCUUAGAGGCACGCUCAUCUUUCCGUGAGUGCCAGCAAGCCCUGCUGGACUUGGAGCAGACAGAUGGGAGCCCACGUGUCCACCAAAAGCCACAAGCAAGAAUUCUCAGGGUAUCUUUCUCCCCAGAUAGUCCAAAGCUGAAAACACUGUAGGCUUCAGCGCUCACAGCAUUGAUAUGGACUCGGUGGCCAGUCAUGCGGGUAAUGCCACAGGGAGGAGAAAUGACCAACAUGGCACUGUGGGCCAGCAGCCUGCAUCUCACCUGC